This is a non-coding RNA of Paramuricea clavata, 70 nucleotides long. The record is from the annotation of a GenBank genome assembly. NCBI's taxonomy places the organism in Eukaryota, Metazoa, Cnidaria, Anthozoa, Malacalcyonacea, Plexauridae.
GUCCAGCUUAUUUGGUUAGAGUGCUGCACUGGUAUUGCAGGGCCACUGGUUCAAUUCCUGUCAGAGGACC